UAAGCCAUAUGUUGUCAGACAUCUAGGAAUAUGAUACAGUUGAUGAGAUUUUAGAUAUUUUUGUUGGCAGGCUAGAAGAGAAAAGAUCAGUGAGAGGAUGAGAAUAUUACAGGAUCUUGUCCCUGGGUGUAAUAAGGUCAUUGGCAAGGCACUGGUACUUGACGAGAUCAUAAAUUAUAUCCAAUCAUUACAGCGUCAAGUUGAGUUUCUUUCAAUGAAAUUAGAAGCUGUCAAUACGAGAACCAGCCCUGGUAUUGAAGGAUUUCCGUCAAAAGAUCACAAAAUAUUUCCGUGGAUGCGUAGGAGAUGAACAAUCUUGCAAUUCCAGAACCAAGGGCUUUUCCAUGUAUUGCUUCAGUCUUGAAGUGAAAGGCCAUUGGAUGUUACCCAUGCUCAUGCUUUUGUUCAGGCCGGAUGUUCAUCUGCCCAGCUUUCAAGUAUAUUACCGCCUGGGGACCGCCUUAUCAGGAGAGAUGUGAAAAAUGAAGGGAGAUAAAUC
Molecule: long non-coding RNA, 499 nt
Organism: Spinacia oleracea (spinach)
Lineage: Eukaryota; Viridiplantae; Streptophyta; Magnoliopsida; Caryophyllales; Amaranthaceae
Exons: 7
Source: RefSeq, a predicted model, not a curated record